UACGUAGGGUGCGAGCGUUGUCCGGAAUUACUGGGCGUAAAGAGCUCGUAGGUGGUUUGUCGCGUUGUUCGUGAAAUCUCACGGCUUAACUGUGAGCGUGCGGGCGAUACGGGCAGACUAGAGUACUGCAGGGGAGACUGGAAUUCCUGGUGUAGCGGUGGAAUGCGCAGAUAUCAGGAGGAACACCGGUGGCGAAGGCGGGUCUCUGGGCCGUAACUGACGCUGAGGAGCGAAAGCGUGGGGAGCGAACAGG
Molecule: ribosomal RNA, 253 nt
Filed under: uncultured bacterium
Lineage: Bacteria
Description: partial 16S ribosomal RNA
Rfam family: Bacterial small subunit ribosomal RNA
Source: RNAcentral